CACGUAGGCACCAAGCGUUGUCCGGAUUUAUUGGGCGUAAAGAGCUCGUAGGCGGCUUGUCGCGUCGACUGUGAAAUCCCGCGGCUCAACUGCGGGUCUGCAGUCGAUACGGGCAGGCUAGAGUUCGGUAGGGGAGACUGGAAUUCCUGGUGUAGCGGUGAAAUGCGCAGAUAUCAGGAGGAACACCGAUGGCGAAGGCAGGUCUCUGGGCCGUAACUGACGCUGAGGAGCGAAAGCGUGGGGAGCGAACAGG
Molecule: ribosomal RNA, 253 nt
Filed under: uncultured bacterium
Lineage: Bacteria
Description: partial 16S ribosomal RNA
Rfam family: Bacterial small subunit ribosomal RNA
Source: RNAcentral